GACGAACGCUGGCGGCGUGCUUAACACAUGCAAGUCGAACGGAAAGGCUCCAGCUUGCUGGAGUACUCGAGUGGCGAACGGGUGAGUAACACGUGGGUAAUCUGCCCUGCACUCUGGGAUAAGCCUGGGAAACUGGGUCUAAUACUGGAUAUGACCUUUCUCCUUAUGGGGUUUGGUGGAAAGUUUUUCGGUGUAGGAUGAGCCCGCGGCCUAUCAGCUUGUUGGUGGGGUGAUGGCCUACCAAGGCGACGACGGGUAGCCGGCCUGAGAGGGUGAUCGGCCACAAUGGGACUGAGGUACGGCCCAGACUCCUACGGGAGGCAGCAGUGGGGAAUAUUGCACAAUGGGCGGAAGCCUGAUGCAGCGACGCCGCGUGAGGGAUGACGGCCUUCGGGUUGUAAACCUCUUUCAGCAGGGACGAAGCGUAAGUGACGGUACCUGAAGAAGAAGCACCGGCUAACUAUGUG
This 467-nucleotide ribosomal RNA is filed under the name uncultured bacterium. RNAcentral's name for it is "partial 16S ribosomal RNA". It matches the Rfam family "Bacterial small subunit ribosomal RNA", at positions 28 to 507 of the family's 1533-position model. The record is from RNAcentral.